CCUACGGGCGGCAGCAGUGAGGAAUAUUUGUCAAUGGCCGAGAGACUGAACCAGCCAAGUCGCGUGAGGGAAGACGGUCCUACGUGUUGUAAACCUCUUUUGUCUGGGAGCAAAGGUAACCACGUGUGGUUCUUUUAUAGUACCCUAUGAAAAAGCAUCGGAUAACUCCGUGCCAGCAGCCGCGGUAAUACGCAGGAUGCGUGCGUUAUCCGGAUUUAUUGGGUUUAAAGGGUGCGCAGGCGGGCAUGCAAUUCAGCGUUCAAAUUGUGGGGCUCAACCCCGUACUGCUGUUGAAACUGGAUGCCUUGAGUGUGCGUGAAGUAGGCGGAAUGAGUGGUGUAGCGGUGAAAUGCAGAGAUAUCACGCAGAACUCCGAUUGCGAAGGCAGCAUACCGGCGCGAAACUGACGCUGAUGCACGAAAGCGUGGGUAUCGAACAGGAUUAGAUACCCGUGUAGUC
This 459-nucleotide ribosomal RNA is filed under the name uncultured bacterium. RNAcentral describes it as "partial 16S ribosomal RNA". It matches the Rfam family "Bacterial small subunit ribosomal RNA", at positions 338 to 795 of the family's 1533-position model. The record is from RNAcentral.